AGGUUACUGCUAUCGAGGUUCGACUAAGCCAUGCGAGUCGAAUGUAGCAAUACAUGGCGUACUGCUCAGUAACACGUGGACAACCUACCCUUGGGACGGGGAUAAACCCGGGAAACUGGGUAUAAUACCCGAUAGUCCUCGGCGGCUGGAAUGCCCCGAGGUCUAAAGCUCCGGCGCCUAAGGAUGGGUCUGCGGCCUAUCAGGUAGUAGUGGGUGUAGCGUACCUACUAGCCUACGACGGGUACGGGUUGUGAGAGCAAGAGCCCGGAGAUGGAUUCUGAGACACGAAUCCAGGCCCUACGGGGUGCAGCAGGCGCGAAAACUUUACAAUGCUGGCAACAGCGAUAAGGGAACCUCGAGUGCCAGGUUACAAAUCUGGCUGUCGUGAUGCCUAAAAAGCAUUGCAUAGCAAGGGCCGGGCAAGACCGGUGCCAGCCGCCGCGGUAACACCGGCGGCUCGAGUGGUAACCGUUAUUAUUGGGUCUAAAGGGUCUGUAGCCGGCCGGAUAAGUCUCUUGGGAAAUCUGGCAGCUUAACUGUCAGGCUUUCAGGAGAUACUGUCUGGCUCGAGGCCGGGAGAGGUGAGAGGUACUUCAGGGGUAGGGGUGAAAUCUUGUAAUCCUUGAAGGACCACCAGUGGCGAAGGCGUCUCACCAGAACGGACCUGACGGCAAGGGACGAAAGCUAGGGGCACGAACCGGAUUAGAUACCCGGGUAGUCCUAGCCGUAAACGAUACUCGCUAGGUGUCGGCCACGGUGCGACCGUUGUCGGUGCCGUAGGGAAGCCGUGAAGCGAGCCACCUGGGAAGUACGGCCGCAAGGCUGAAACUUAAAGGAAU
Molecule: ribosomal RNA, 839 nt
Filed under: uncultured euryarchaeote
Lineage: Archaea; Methanobacteriati; Methanobacteriota
Description: bacterial SSU rRNA
Rfam family: Archaeal small subunit ribosomal RNA
Source: RNAcentral